This 459-nucleotide ribosomal RNA is filed under the name uncultured bacterium. RNAcentral describes it as "partial 16S ribosomal RNA". It matches the Rfam family "Bacterial small subunit ribosomal RNA", at positions 338 to 795 of the family's 1533-position model. The record is from RNAcentral.
CCUACGGGAGGCAGCAGUGAGGAAUAUUGGUCAAUGGGCGCGAGCCUGAACCAGCCAAGUAGCGUGAAGGAUGACUGCCCUACGGGUUGUAAACUUCUUUUGUCAGGGAGCAAAGGGCGCCACGUGUGGCGUUUUGCGAGUACCUGAAGAAAAAGCAUCGGCUAACUCCGUGCCAGCAGCCGCGGUAAUACGGAGGAUGCGAGCGUUAUCCGGAUUUAUUGGGUUUAAAGGGUGCGCAGGCGGAAUGUCAAGUCAGCGGUAAAAUUUCGGGGCUCAACCCCGUCGUGCCGUUGAAACUGGCGUUCUUGAGUGAGCGAGAAGUAUGCGGAAUGCGUGGUGUAGCGGUGAAAUGCAUAGAUAUCACGCAGAACUCCGAUUGCGAAGGCAGCAUACCGGCGCUCAACUGACGCUCAUGCACGAAAGCGUGGGUAUCGAACAGGAUUAGAUACCCUUGUAGUC